UGGGCCGUUAGCUCAGUUGGUAGAGCAGCUGACUUUUAAUCAGCGGGUCGCAGGUUCGAAUCCUGCACGGCUCACCA
This 77-nucleotide transfer RNA is filed under the name Rhodobacter capsulatus SB 1003. RNAcentral describes it as "tRNA-Lys". It matches the Rfam family "tRNA". From Rfam's summary of the family: Transfer RNA (tRNA) molecules are approximately 80 nucleotides in length. Their secondary structure includes four short double-helical elements and three loops (D, anti-codon, and T loops). Further hydrogen bonds mediate the characteristic L-shaped molecular structure. tRNAs have two regions of fundamental functional importance: the anti-codon, which is responsible for specific mRNA codon recognition, and the 3' end, to which the tRNAs corresponding amino acid is attached (by aminoacyl-tRNA synthetases). tRNAs cope with the degeneracy of the genetic code in two manners: having more than one tRNA (with a specific anti-codon) for a particular amino acid; and 'wobble' base-pairing, i.e. permitting non-standard base-pairing at the 3rd anti-codon position. The record is from RNAcentral. Lineage: Bacteria; Pseudomonadati; Pseudomonadota; Alphaproteobacteria; Rhodobacterales.